This 454-nucleotide small RNA is filed under the name Pan troglodytes (chimpanzee). RNAcentral describes it as "retained intron". Lineage: Eukaryota; Metazoa; Chordata; Mammalia; Primates; Hominidae. The record is from RNAcentral.
UCGAUGCGCAUCUUGCACGCGGAGCUUCAGCAGUACCUGGGGAACCCACAGGAGUCGCUGGAUAGACUGCACAAGGUGAAGACUGUCUGCAGCAAGAUCCUGGCCAAUUUGGAGCAAGGCUUAGCAGAAGACGGCGGCAUAAGCAGCGUGACUCAGGAGGGCAGACAAGCCUCUGUCCGGCUGUGGAGGUCACGUCUGGGCCGGGUGAUGUACUCCAUGGCAAACUGUCUGCUCCUGAUGAAGGAUUAUGUGCUGGCCGUGGAGGCGUAUCAUUCGGUUAUCAAGUAUUACCCAGAGCAAGAGCCCCAGCUGCUCAGCGGCAUCGGCCGGAUUUCCCUGCAGGUACCUGUGCACCGUCAGACAUGAGCCAGAAAGGCCUUAUGAUAGUUCUUUGCUCAGAUGGGCGAGUGUUUGCUUUUCAUCAUUUUAAUAUAAGAAAGACUGCAGAAAAUAU